UAAGCUCUGACGUGCUCCUGUUUUACAGUGAAAUUUUUAACAAUAAAUUACAACAAUUAAUUGUUAAUUUAUAAUAAAUCAGUUGAUUAACUCUCUGGCUACCAUUUGAGUGCAAAAUUAUUGCUGGAUGUCACGUAUUUUAGCCACAAAUCGCUAUUGUUUAAAGUGGCUAAAAGCGGCCGGGUCACGAAAAGAGGCCAUGGAAUUUUAUAAUACCAAAAUGACCGCAGAUACAAAAAGAUGGCCAAAAUUUAUUUGUAAAAUGUUUCUGAUAAAGUGAUACAAGUCUUGGCACUUGAUUCAACAACAAUCAAUGUGCCUGACGAAUAGUUAAAGCUAAUUAAGACUGAAUAUAAAGUAAUUUUUGGCUACCUAAAAAUGUGCUGGUAAUUCAUCAAACUGGUACACUUUAAACCAAGAGAAAGGCGUGUUAAAUAUCGAAAGUUAUUGUACUAAUUGAAACAACUGGAUUGAGUGGCAUGGUGCUGACAGAUAUAAAAGUGAUUGAACAAUAAAUUGGCUGUGUCAUAAUGAUUAUAGAAAGAAAAAACAAGUAAUGAAAAUGGUGAUGAUGCUGAUGAUGAUGAAAGGUAUGUUGGUUUUAGUUUAUCUUCGACAGAUUCAGCGAAUUUAAUAUGAAAUACGUCUAAUCAGUAUAUAGUUAUUGAAAUCUGAUUGAGUAUUUCAUAUUAAAUGCUGGUGCAACUAAACCACAAAUCAAAGAUCAGAAACGUUAUGUUGCAUUGAAAAAAAAAAAAAAACAAAUACUAGAGAAAUAGUUUUAAAUUAAAAAUUCAGUAUCUUGCGUUAUUUACUAAAGUUUGAGAGCUAAUUAUGACAGUGUUGUUACAUUGAGUAAUUUACUUUAAUGUACAACUAACUCGUCGGAGCUUAAAAAAAUGCGUAACGCGAUAAAUUUAUAAUUAUUUAUUAUAAAUUCGCGAAACAAAGAUUUAAAAAAAUACCCAACUGAUAAAAAUAAAAAGAGAAGAACAAAAAGAGAAGUAAGUGUUGCUUGAGAAGGAAAAUAAUCAUAGUAAAAUGACAAGAUCACUCGAGCCAUGAUCAUGAUGCUAAAAACUCCAGGGUGAUGAUAGAUAGUUUGGAGAAGAAACUGUCAAUCCAAGAUGACGAUACUGAUGCAACCAAAAUUGCUGUGUGAACAACAACCAAAGAAGAAUGGACGAUUGAAUCUGAUGAUGCCAUUACCAGAGGAAAGGAAAUAUCAGUCAAGUGACAUUAACAAGGCAGGACAGCAUGCAGGCACCACGAAACCACCUACUAGACGUUGAUGACAUGAGGCAGCCUGCUGAUUCAACUCAUCAACAAAUUCAUCCCUGGAUUCGAUCGAGCCCAGCUGAAUACAUCUACCUACAGACUGCGAUUUGAAUAAAUAAAUAAAACAAUUUUUUUAUAUAUCUUGAAAUUGUG
This is a long non-coding RNA of Aphidius gifuensis, 1431 nucleotides long. RefSeq lists it as uncharacterized. NCBI's taxonomy places the organism in Eukaryota, Metazoa, Arthropoda, Insecta, Hymenoptera, Braconidae. The record is from RefSeq and is a predicted model, not a curated record. The transcript is spliced from 4 exons.